AUACGUAGGUGGCAAGCGUUGUCCGGAAUUACUGGGUGUAAAGGGAGCGUAGGCGGGAAUGCAAGUUGAAUGUUAAAACUAUGGGCUUAACCCAUAUCUGCGUUCAAAACUGUAUUUCUUGAGUGAAGUAGAGGUAGGCGGAAUUCCUAGUGUAGCGGUGAAAUGCGUAAAUAUUAGGAGGAACACCAGUGGCGAAGGCGGCCUGCUGGGCUCUAACUGACGCUGAGGCUCGAAAGUGUGGGUAGC
Molecule: ribosomal RNA, 246 nt
Filed under: uncultured bacterium
Lineage: Bacteria
Description: partial 16S ribosomal RNA
Rfam family: Bacterial small subunit ribosomal RNA
Source: RNAcentral